Non-coding RNA from Ceratobasidium sp. 428, 85 nucleotides. The record is from the annotation of a GenBank genome assembly. Lineage: Eukaryota; Fungi; Basidiomycota; Agaricomycetes; Cantharellales; Ceratobasidiaceae.
GGCUUCGUAGUGUAGUGGUUAUCACCUCGGAUUCUGAUCACUCAAUCAUCUUCCGGUAACGCCAGUUCGACUCUGGCCGAGGCCU